UACGUAGGGGGCAAGCGUUGUCCGGAUCUAUUGGGCGUAAAGAGCGUGUAGGCGGCCUGACAGGUCUGCUGUGAAAACUCGAGGCUCAACCUCGAGAUGUCGGCGGAAACCAUUUGGCUAGAGUCCGGAAGAGGAGAGUGGAAUUCCUGGUGUAGCGGUGAAAUGCGCAGAUAUCAGGAAGAACACCAAUGGCGAAAGCAGCUCUCUGGGACGGUACUGACGCUGGGACGCGAAAGCGUGGGGAGCGAACAGG
Molecule: ribosomal RNA, 253 nt
Filed under: uncultured bacterium
Lineage: Bacteria
Description: partial 16S ribosomal RNA
Rfam family: Bacterial small subunit ribosomal RNA
Source: RNAcentral